UGACACUGUCAGACGUUACAGAUGGAUUCGGAGAAAUUGUAAUUCUUCUCCGCGGGUAAAUCAAUUUGAGUCAACACUCCAUGUGAAAUUAUUUGUGAUACUGUGUAGUCGUGCAUUUAGCGUAGGAACACUUUGGGUCCGGAACCAAAUUCGAAUGAAGACUGAGACAGGUGCCGUGAAAGAAAAUAAUGUUGGUGCGAAGAAGAAAACAAAAAAAGCUAAGGUUACAAAAACAAAAAAGAAGCCCAGAAAAUUCCUCAAAAUCAGAUGUCCGAUAUGCUUCAACAACCUCAACAACGAGGCGGUAUCCUCAACCCGUUGCGGGCACGUGUUCUGUACGCAAUGCCUGCUGAAGGCAAUGAGGAUCAAGAGGAUCUGCCCUCUGUGCCGGGUGUCGCUGAGGACAGCCGCGGCCUGCCACCCGCUGUAUUUGCACGAUAAUUUGUGCGAAGAGGACACCGAGAGCUCUUGAGAUUGGUGAAACAGAAUCGAGGAUCAGUGAUAAUGUCGAAUUGCUCGAACCAUGCUAAUGCUUGGUUGAGCUCGAAACAUUGUGUCGGCCAUCGACGGAUCGACGGCCAUUUUAGAAGUAGGUCAAGGAGCUCUCCCUUCUACCCUACGUUUGUGGGGCCGAACGUCC
Ostrinia furnacalis (Asian corn borer) is the source of this 640-nucleotide long non-coding RNA. RefSeq lists it as uncharacterized. The record is from RefSeq and is a predicted model, not a curated record. NCBI's taxonomy places the organism in Eukaryota, Metazoa, Arthropoda, Insecta, Lepidoptera, Crambidae. The transcript is spliced from 4 exons.